AUUAGGUAUUUCAUGAGGAAGCUGAAGAAGGUCAAGAAGAGCAAUGGUCAAGUGCUUUCCAUUAAUGAGUCAAUGUUUUUUUGCGGUGGAGAAGUGGUUCCUUCUCAACUCUCCUCCUGGUGAAAUCCAAUUUGUUGCCAAUGGUCUCCACCUUUGACCCCAAAGCGUCACUCUUUUAUCACAUUUAUUUCGCUUUUUUCUAAUUUUGUUUCGAUCAGUUGAAUCGUAAUUUGUAUUUGAUGUUUGCCUUUGGUGGCAGAUGUGAAGGAGGCUGCGUCAGAGGCAUCCUCUCGAAUAUUAUGAAAACCUAUCAGCAUAUCCACACCUUCUUUUACACCUUAUUUCUCUGCACAUUCCUCUCAAAAACUUAAAUGCUUUAUGCUCCACCAUAGCCUUUGGGAGGAAGAUCGAAAGAAAAAGAACUGGAGAAAUCAAUACAGGAACCCCCAGUCUGAUGUCAAUGGUAU
Prunus mume (Japanese apricot) is the source of this 467-nucleotide non-coding RNA. NCBI's taxonomy places the organism in Eukaryota, Viridiplantae, Streptophyta, Magnoliopsida, Rosales, Rosaceae. The record is from RefSeq and is a predicted model, not a curated record.